GCCGGGGUGGCGGAAUUGGUAGACGCACUGGACUCAAAAUCCAGCGGUGCAAACCGUGAGGGUUCGAGUCCCUCCCUCGGCACCA
This 85-nucleotide transfer RNA is filed under the name Verrucomicrobiota bacterium. RNAcentral describes it as "Verrucomicrobia bacterium (marine metagenome) tRNA-Leu". It matches the Rfam family "tRNA". From Rfam's summary of the family: Transfer RNA (tRNA) molecules are approximately 80 nucleotides in length. Their secondary structure includes four short double-helical elements and three loops (D, anti-codon, and T loops). Lineage: Bacteria; Pseudomonadati; Verrucomicrobiota. The record is from RNAcentral.